ACCCUAAGAACCAGUUUUCUGUUUCGCUCACCAAACAUAAAAAAAAAAAAAAAGAAAAACAAACCCUAACAAACCCUAGGAUAUGGCGAUAUGCUUUGUUCAUGGGAUAAUGAUGAUACAAAGAAAAUAAAAACAACUAGCCAGGGGACAAAGGCUUUAUCGUUUACUGAACAAGGCAUUCUAUGUGCAGAUGAGAUCGUCCAGACUUCAAACAACAUAUACGUCCAGGCUUUAUCGUUUAAGAGUUUCUCAUUUGAUUUUUAGGUUUUCUAUUUUGAUUCUCUCUUUAUACUGUCUUUAUUGUUGAUUUUUUUCUUUUAAUAAUUGUUUGUCCAGUUUAUUUACAGAUGUGAUUUUGGCUGAAGCUGGAAAAAGUUUAUUUACAUGAUUGUUAAGUCGAACCCUUUUUUCUCUUCCUGCUUCUUCCCCAUUCUCAACUAUAGAGAAACUGUAGCAUUCCUAUUCAUAUGACUCUCAAAAGAGCUUUAAGGGUAAACCAAGGCCAAUUGAAUACCAAUUGACUCUAUAGUUCCAAUUAAAGUUUCAGCAAUUUUCCAACAGGUCAAUUUCUCGAGUUUCAGGUGAUGCAAUCAAGUGUGAUUUGGGGGUUUAAUGGAUUUAACUCUUACAACAACAUAUACUUCAAUGCUUGAUAUAGCCUUUUCUCUGUCCAUUAUUGUGUCUUUGAUUGUUUAGGAUGUAUUCAUCUUGGUGAGAAUUUUAGACCUUGGAAUUUUUGUUCUUCGGUUGAUGCCCGACUUUCUGGCACUGGAUUUUUUUUUUGUUUUGUCCUGAUUGUUUUUGGGUUCAUUUUGUUCAACUUUAUGAAAUAGUGCGAAAGCUAAGAACUUUAUACAUAUAGGAUGGGGUUCUUAUGCUGUUAACACCAGAUUGUUUGACAGAGUUUUUCUUUUUGCAGAAAGUCACUCUGAAGGCGACCUUUUUUUCUUCUACUUCUUCAAAGAGGUCUGCAGAGUUGUGUAUGCCUGGAAUUACUAUUGGAGCAACACUAGGUACUGAGCUAGGGUAAAUGUCAAGACCAGCAAGGAGGGGAGCAAUAUUGAACCUCAAUUCACAACUGUCAAGUGAUGGCUUUGUUGUCCUUCAGUUUGGUGUUUGCAGCUAUAGUAAGCCCCUGUCCAGCUGUCCAGGGAAAACGCCACUUUAUUUAGCAGCUCAAGGUGGUUUUUUGGAAUGUGUUCAACAAUGUCUUGCAUGAGUAGUAGAUUGAAUUAAAAAAAAAAGUGCAGCUGCAAAAUUUCGAAGGAGGAGGGGUCCGAGAGCGGAUAGAUCUUCUUGCUUAGUUAGUAGCCGAAGAAGCUCUUCAUAGUUCAUACAGCACAAGCAAUGGUUUCGACCAGUGUUGUUUUUUCUGUUAACAAUUUUUCAAAACCCAAUUUUCAUCCGUGUGCCAGAUGCUUUGGUCCUGCUACCACCUGUUGCUCCAGAUGCGCAAGCCUGUUAGAUACUGGAGUGUUCCAUAUGUUAUAGCGUUGAAGUAUAAGUGCGGGGCAUGUAGAAGAGUCCUGGGAGAACUAUGACAAGCUAAAAUGCAUAUUCAAGCAGAUGUGUAAGUGCUAGGCAUUUUUCAUUGCUCAUGUCCCCUGUAGCCUUCCAUUUCACAAACCAUAUCUGUGGAGGCUAAAAUCAAGUGAGAAAUAAGAGAGAAUCGAAAGUCUGUAUACAAAAGUGGUAGAGGAAGUUGUGCAUGCCGUCGGUAACUGGACCAGCAGAAGCUCCACCAGAUUUGAAUGAUCCUAAGCCAAAGGCGAAGUCUGAUUACUGAGGAACUAUGAAGAGCUUCUGCUGUUAAAGUCAACAGUACAAAACAGUGGAUGCUGAAACUAUAUUUAUACUCCAGAUAAUUGGUAGCUUAAAUUUAAUAAAAAUGUCAAGUUUUAUAAUUUGCAAAUAAGUAGAGUUUCCGGUUGCAUGUUACGAUGUUAAUUUGAAUUUCCAAAGCCCAUUUGGCUAGAGCUCAUAUAUCUUAUGUAAUAAGUUUGUUGAAAUAAUAAGUCUUGCAUGUUGCAAGUCUUCAGAUGCUAGUGGGUAGUAUUUUGAUUUUAAUUAAUCUUUUAACUAAGUACAACAAUAAGGCAUUAUCUGUCAGGCUUUAAACAA
Long non-coding RNA from Papaver somniferum (opium poppy), 2121 nucleotides. RefSeq lists it as uncharacterized. The record is from RefSeq and is a predicted model, not a curated record. Lineage: Eukaryota; Viridiplantae; Streptophyta; Magnoliopsida; Ranunculales; Papaveraceae. The transcript is spliced from 7 exons.